RNAcentral lists this ribosomal RNA (433 nucleotides) under uncultured bacterium. RNAcentral describes it as "partial 16S ribosomal RNA". It matches the Rfam family "Bacterial small subunit ribosomal RNA", at positions 29 to 507 of the family's 1533-position model. The record is from RNAcentral.
AACGAACGCUGGCGGCAUGCCUAACACAUGCAAGUCGAACGAGACCUUCCGGCCUUGUUGCGCACGGGUGCGUACCGCCGGGGAACCUGCCCUUAGGUUCCGAAUAACUCACUGAAAGGGGUGCUAAUACCGGUUGAGGUCUUCCGACCAAAGAUUUAUUGCCUUUGGAUGGGCCCGGGUUGGAUUCGCUGGUUGGUAGGGUAAAAGCCUACCAAGGCGUGGUUCCAUAGCUGGUCGGUGAGGAUGAUCAGCCACACUGGCGCUGAGACGCGGCCCAGACUCGUACGCAAGGGAGGAGUGGAGUAUAUUGGACGAGGGGGGCAGGCCUGAUCCAGCAAUGCGGCGGGAGUGAUGAAGGCCUUAGGGUUGUACAGCUCUUUUAGCCGGGGUGAUAAUGACAGUACCGGGAGAAUAAGCUCCGGCUAACUACGUG